CAGCCGCCACGGUAAUACGUAGGGCGCAAGCGUUAUCCGGAAUUAUUGGGCGUAAAGAGCUCGUAGGCGGUUUGUCGCGUCUGCCGUGAAAGUCCGGGGCUCAACCCCGGAUCUGCGGUGGGUACGGGCAGACUAGAGUGAUGUAGGGGAGACUGGAAUUCCUGGUGUAGCGGUGAAAUGCGCAGAUAUCAGGAGGAACACCGAUGGCGAGGGCAGGUCUCUGGGCAUUAACUGACGCUGAGGAGCGAAAGCAUGGGGAGCGAACAGGAUUAGAUACCCGCGUAGUCCCUGUCUCUUAUAC
Molecule: ribosomal RNA, 301 nt
Filed under: uncultured bacterium
Lineage: Bacteria
Description: partial 16S ribosomal RNA
Rfam family: Bacterial small subunit ribosomal RNA
Source: RNAcentral